Fukomys damarensis (Damara mole-rat) is the source of this 752-nucleotide long non-coding RNA. RefSeq lists it as uncharacterized. The transcript is spliced from 3 exons. NCBI's taxonomy places the organism in Eukaryota, Metazoa, Chordata, Mammalia, Rodentia, Bathyergidae. The record is from RefSeq and is a predicted model, not a curated record.
AGGGCGCUGCCCCCUUAUCGCGGCGCGGCUUAUCGCGAAGACGCCCUUGAGCGGUGUUCUCUGAUCCGCCCCGGAACGGCAGUCCGACGCCUGAGAGAUCGGGCCGCGCCACGCACCGCGCUUCGGGUGCGCCAGACCCGCGCCCUGGGGUCCUCUGUGCCGAAACGUCAAGGGGGCCUAGGGGCGCAGCCACUUAGUCACCUCCCUGAUUCUCCUGGAACAUGAAUGCCCCUUCUCCUUACGUAUAAAAACAGAACAUGUCAUCUAAUUAGCUGGCCCCAGUGUGCCAAGGGCCCAAUUGAAAAUCCCAGAGAAGUAUGGACUUUCCAGGAAAAUGCAUAUUUGAACGCCAAUCGCAUAUGAUUUCAGUAUCAACACCUGAACAUCCACUUCAGCUGGAAUACUCCAAUUACAGGGUGCUCAUUACAGCAACUGUCAGCCUCCUCUACCUGUGAGGAACCUCACCUUUUACAGAGGACAAAUCAGAUGAAUGAGUAGGGAUGAUUCUGAGUAUCACCACCACAGCAGUUUCCAGGCCAAUGGCUAAGACUCCACUGGUGCCUUCUAAUGAGAGUCCAGUGAAUACUUAAUGAAUGCAGAAGGUGGGCUGGGAGGCUUGAGAAGCCCCUGGGUCAGGCUAUGAGCUCGUUCCACCCUGAAAGAUAAGAGACAUCUCGGCUGCUAUCAAGAGCCAGGACCCAAGUUCGAUCCCCAGUACCAAAAAGAAAAGAAAAGAAAAAAAAAAAGCCAGA